GCAGCCGGCCAGGCCCUGAGCACGCGCCCGGCCCGCCAGCCCAGGGACAGCAGAGCCAGCUUCCGGGCCAGGGCGGCCAGACGCUUCACCUCCGGGACCCGCCAUGGCUGUGGCCGCCUGGAGCUCUGCUGGGACGGGCCUGUGCCGGCGCUCGGGCCCACAGGGAGAGCAGCGGAAAGGCAGCUCUCAGCGGGGCUCCCGCCCCGUCUUGCCCUGAGGACCCAAAGCCGCCCAGACAGCCUGUGUGCCCCGCGUGUCUGAGGCCUGCUGUCCAGGUCCAAGGCUCUGGGCCGCGACCGGCUCGCAGGUGCCCCCCUGAUGGCAGCCAGAAGCCCCGCACACACCUGAAAGGCCACCCACGUCCAUCUUCUUGAGGUUCUUGGCCUCCAGGAUGCAGACGGUCCCUCCACUCCUCGAUGGGCUGCCCCAGGUCCACGGUGUUCAUGGGCACCUUCACCUCCCCGAUGAUGUCGUGUUUGGAGAAGCGGUCAAAGUCAUAGAUGGCCAUCACCAGGGUCUUGCCCCCCAGCUCCUGGAGGAAGACCUUGACGUAAGGGUCCGAGGUGCCGCCCAUGUCCAGGGCGGGCAGUUCCGCGGCCUGCAGGAUGCCCACGGGAAUCGGAAUAAGAUGGGGGAGACGGUCGCCGAGGGGUGACUGGUCUGCCCGAGGAGGGCGGCCCGUGGACGGCCUGAGCACAGCCCUUCCCUGGAGCCCUGGGGGCCGCCCCCGCCCCGCACACCUGGUUGGCCUGGAAGUCGUAGUCCAGGGAGAACUGCAGCUUCCCCAGUGCAGGCCACCACGUGGGCAGCACGUACCAGGCGUGCAGUCCGGGCGUCCAGGCCAGAUGCAGAAGCAGCAGGUGAGGAGCAGGAGGCCCAGGAGCACCGCGAUGGCGACCAGCGCCCAGCGGGGGACUGCCCACGGGGACACCGGGGUCAGCGGUGCCCUCCUGUAGCC
This is a long non-coding RNA of Balaenoptera musculus (blue whale), 958 nucleotides long. RefSeq lists it as uncharacterized. The record is from RefSeq and is a predicted model, not a curated record. Lineage: Eukaryota; Metazoa; Chordata; Mammalia; Artiodactyla; Balaenopteridae. The transcript has 7 exons.